AGCCCAGCAACUCCUAUCCCUACCUCAUCUCGGUACUGGCCGGGGUACGAGUAACCUUAAGGAAGAUCGGGUAACCAAACACGGUGGG
This 88-nucleotide ribozyme is filed under the name Aedes aegypti (yellow fever mosquito). Its description in RNAcentral is "drz-agam-1 ribozyme". It matches the Rfam family "drz-agam-1 ribozyme". Lineage: Eukaryota; Metazoa; Arthropoda; Insecta; Diptera; Culicidae. The record is from Rfam by way of RNAcentral.